RNAcentral lists this ribosomal RNA (383 nucleotides) under uncultured prokaryote. RNAcentral describes it as "partial 16S ribosomal RNA". The record is from RNAcentral.
CCCUACGGGGUGCCCGUUACUGGAUGCUGGCCAUCUGAGGGCAGCGUUUCGAUGGAGGCGCUCGAUCAGAUCGUCCGUACUGGUUUCGCGUGGACGGCGACAGACGAGACAAUACUGCUGCGAGAACUGCAGGGAGCACCACGCUCCAGGUUGUACAAGCCCUAUGUCACGAAGACGGCGUCAGGCAACCUGUCCAUGCUGUUCCGCGACAGAGGCCUGUCGGAUGCGAUAGGCUUUCAAUAUGCUUCCAUGAGAGAGGAAGAUUCUGUUGCACAGUUCAUGGAACAUGUGCGUGCGAUACGAGACGGCUUGAGCGAACCCGGCGUGCUGUCGAUCAUCAUGGAUGGCGAGAAUGCCUGGGAGGUCUACCCAGGCGGGGGGGC